AACGAACGCUGGCGGCGUGGAUUAGGCAUGCAAGUCGAACGAUCCCGCAAGGGAUAGUGGCGAAAGGGUGCGUAACACGUGGGCAAUCUGCCCCCGAAACGGGAAUAACUUCGGGAAACCGAAGCUAAUACCUGAUGACACCGAGCUGCCGCAUGGUGGCACGGUGAAAGGCGUCCGCAAGGGUGCCGAUCGGGGAUGAGCCCGCGGCCUAUCAGCUAGUUGGUGAGGUAACGGCCCACCAAGGCGAUGACGGGUAGCCGGCCUGAGAGGGUGGUCGGCCACAUUGGGACUGAGACACUGCCCAGACUCCUACGGGAGGCUGCAGUCGAGGAUCUUCCGCAAUGGGGGAAACCCUGACGGAGCGACGCCGCGUGGAGGAUGAAGGCCUUCGGGUCGUAAACUCCUGUCAGUCUGGAAGAAAGUCUGCAGCAAUGUGGAUUGACCGUACAGGCAGAGGAAGCUCCGGCUAACUCCGUGCCAGCAGCCGCGGUAACUGUAGUCGUC
RNAcentral lists this ribosomal RNA (504 nucleotides) under uncultured bacterium. Its description in RNAcentral is "bacterial SSU rRNA". It matches the Rfam family "Bacterial small subunit ribosomal RNA", at positions 29 to 535 of the family's 1533-position model. The record is from RNAcentral.